This 468-nucleotide ribosomal RNA is filed under the name uncultured bacterium. RNAcentral's name for it is "partial 16S ribosomal RNA". It matches the Rfam family "Bacterial small subunit ribosomal RNA", at positions 28 to 507 of the family's 1533-position model. The record is from RNAcentral.
GACGAACGCUGGCGGCGCGCUUAACACAUGCAAGUCGAACGGAAAGACCCUGCUUUUGUGGGGUGCUCGAGUGGCGAACGGGUGAGUAACACGUGAGUAACCUGCCCUUGACUUUGGGAUAACUUCAGGAAACUGGGGCUAAUACCGGAUAGGAGCUCCUGCUGAAUGGUGGGGGUUGGAAAGUUUCGGCGGUUGGGGAUGGACUCGCGGCUUAUCAGCAUGUUGGUGGGGUAGUGGCUUACCAAGGCUUUGACGGGUAGCCGGCCUGAGAGGGUGACCGGACACAUUGGGACUGAGAUACGGCCCAGACUCCUACGGGAGGCAGCAGUGGGGAAUAUUGCACAAUGGGCGGAAGCCUGAUGCAGCAACGCCGCGUGCGGGAUGACGGCCUUCGGGUUGUAAACCGCUUUCGCCUGUGACGAAGCGUGAGUGACGGUAAUGGGUAAAGAAGCACCGGCUAACUACGUG